RNAcentral lists this ribosomal RNA (253 nucleotides) under uncultured bacterium. RNAcentral describes it as "partial 16S ribosomal RNA". It matches the Rfam family "Bacterial small subunit ribosomal RNA", at positions 524 to 776 of the family's 1533-position model. The record is from RNAcentral.
AACGUAGGAGACAAACGUUAUUCGGAGUUACUGGGCGUAAAGGGCGUGUAGGUGGUUUUGUAAGUUCGGCGUGAAAUCUCUCGGCUUAACCGGGAGUGGUCGUCGGAUACUGCAAGACUAGAGGACGGUAGAGGCGUGUGGAAUUCCGGGUGUAGUGGUGAAAUGCGUAGAGAUCCGGAGGAACACCAGUGGCGAAGGCGACACGCUGGGCCGUACCUGACACUGAGGCGCGAUAGCGUGGGGAGCAAACAGG